RNAcentral lists this ribosomal RNA (233 nucleotides) under unidentified marine eubacterium. Its description in RNAcentral is "partial 16S ribosomal RNA". It matches the Rfam family "Bacterial small subunit ribosomal RNA", at positions 527 to 759 of the family's 1533-position model. The record is from RNAcentral.
GUAGGGACCUAGCGUAGUUCGGAAUUACUGGGCUUAAAGAGUUCGUAGGUGGUUAAAGAAGUUGGUGGUGAAAUCCCAGAGCUUAACUCUGGAACUGCCAUCAAAACUUUUUAGCUAGAGUAUGAUAGAGGAAAGCAGAAUUUCUAGUGUAGAGGUGAAAUUCGUAGAUAUUAGAAAGAAUACCAAUUGCGAAGGCAGCUUUCUGGAUCAUUACUGACACUGAGGAACGAAAG